This 73-nucleotide transfer RNA is filed under the name Phlyctis boliviensis. RNAcentral's name for it is "tRNA-Gln". It matches the Rfam family "tRNA". From Rfam's summary of the family: Transfer RNA (tRNA) molecules are approximately 80 nucleotides in length. The record is from RNAcentral. Lineage: Eukaryota; Fungi; Ascomycota; Lecanoromycetes; Phlyctidaceae.
UAUGUUGUGGACUAAUUGGUAGGUCAUAAAUUUUUGGUAUUUAAAAUUGAGUGUUCGAAUCACUCCUACAUAA